CAAACAGGAAGCCAAAGGGACAGACGGAGGCCGAGCGCUGCAAUCGUGCGGCGAACCCUGCGGGAGGAACCCCAGGAAGUAGAAAAAACCCAGGGUGCGGAGGGACGCCAUGGCGGACGGGACGGGAACAAGGGAGGAAGAAGGGGAGACUUUGCGGCGCUGGGAACGUCAACAAAUCCAGAUGAAAGAAGAUGUGAUUGAACAAGACACAGAGGAAUGGCAGAGCAAUUUCUCCUUUGCUGGACUGGAAAGAGUUGGAGGAAUGGAUUUGUCUUAUCUCAAAGAAGAUGCCACACGUGCCUGUGCUUCAUUGGUGGUGCUCAGCUACCCAGAACUUGAGGUCCUUUACGAAGACUGCUAUGUGGUGGCUGUGAAUGCCCCCUAUGUGGCAGGAUUCCUGGCUUUCCGAGAAGUCCCUUUUUUAUUGGAGGCUGUACAGCGGCUGGAGACACAGAAGCCUGGCCUCAAGCCCCAGGUGCUUCUUGUAGAUGGAAAUGGCAUCCUGCACCACAGAGGUUUUGGCGUUGCCUGCCAUCUUGGUGUUCUCACAGGUCUUCCCUGUAUUGGUGUAGCCAAAAAUCUCUUGCAGGUUGAAGGUUUGGCCAAUGAUGAGCUUCACAAGAAACAAAUUCAAGAUCUUCAGGCAGGAGGAGAUGCAUUCCCACUGACAAGUACCUCUGGGAAAAUCUUGGGUAUGGCCUUGCGUAGCUGUGCCAAGUGUACAAAACCUAUAUACAUCUCAGUCGGCCACAAGAUAAGUCUAUUAUCGGCUAUGCGCCUGGUCCAUUCUUGUUGCAAGUAUCGGAUUCCUGAGCCCAUCCGGCAGGCAGAUAUAAGAUCCAGAGAAUACAUCCGGAAACAUAUGGAGGUCAAUACUGCUGUACCCCUUCCUCAGCUAGAGAGAGGCCAAGAUCUGGAAAGUGUCAGAUUGGGGGAAGCUGACAAAAAUGAAGGCAAGGACUGAGAGCUAAUCACAAAGGUGAGCUUUCAUCUCUAAGGCCACCAUCCUGAGAAGAGAAUGUGGCAAUUUCCAUCUAUUCAACAAAGCACUGCCCAGAGAUCAAAGACAGUCAAGAGAAGCUCUUUCAAGUACUUUCAUCCAGGGAUUUGCCAACUACAUUUUGGAGCAAGAAAUAUUGUCCUAACAGAGCAGGCCUGGGCUUUAGGUUUUAUGGAUUGAAAAAAACCUGGGACUUUAUAUGAUCAAAGCAGCAAGAUUUUUAUAUGCACAGAGAUGGAAGGAUUUACAGAUUCCUACAAUGGAAUAAUGGAUGGUGAAAUUAAUGGAGUUGGCAGAGCUGGCAAAAUUGGCAACUUUGAUGCAAGAAAGACUUGUUGCUACCUGGAAACCACUUUUGGAUUGUUUGCUUGAAACUGAAAGAAAUGAAACUUUUAAUUGUGGGAUUUGAUUGUUACAACUGUUUAUCAAAAUAUAUGCUUAGAUUUGUAUAGGUACCAAAGAAAAUUUGAAGUUUUCUAUUUUUUUCUAUUGUUCCUUUUUUACCCUCUAAUCUUGUUUCAAUCUUGACCUUUCCCGCCUAUUUAUUUUUCUGUUUUAUAUUUUAUUCUUUGUUGAAACAAUAAAAUUUUGUAAA
This is an RNA transcript of Notechis scutatus (mainland tiger snake), 1595 nucleotides long. It is a transcript of the gene named endonuclease V, with no coding region annotated. The record is from RefSeq and is a predicted model, not a curated record. Lineage: Eukaryota; Metazoa; Chordata; Lepidosauria; Squamata; Elapidae.